RNAcentral lists this ribosomal RNA (648 nucleotides) under uncultured bacterium. RNAcentral describes it as "bacterial SSU rRNA". It matches the Rfam family "Bacterial small subunit ribosomal RNA", at positions 165 to 830 of the family's 1533-position model. The record is from RNAcentral.
AAUACCGGAUACUCCGCGGGCCCCGCAUGGGGGCGGCGGGAAAGCCCCGACGGCGCGGGAUGGGGUCGCGGCCCAUUAGGUAGUAGGCGGGGUAGAGGCCCACCUAGCCGACGAUGGGUAGCCGGACUGAGAGGUCGAUCGGCCACAUUGGGACUGAGAUACGGCCCAGACUCCUACGGGAGGCAGCAGUGGGGAAUUUUGCGCAAUGGGGGAAACCCUGACGCAGCAACGCCGCGUGCGGGACGAAGGCCCUCGGGUCGUAAACCGCUUUCAGCAGGGAAGACUUUACGACGGUACCUGCAGAAGAAGCUCCGGCUAACUACGUGCCAGCAGCCGCGGUAAUACGUAGGGGGCGAGCGUUAUCCGGAUUCAUUGGGCGUAAAGCGCGCGUAGGCGGCCGCCUAAGCGGAACCUCUAACCCCGGGGCUCAACCUCGGGCCGGGUUCCGGACUGGGCGGCUCGAGUGCGGUAGAGGAGAGCGGAAUUCCCGGUGUAGCGGUGGAAUGCGCAGAUAUCGGGAAGAACACCGAUGGCGAAGGCAGCUCUCUGGGCCGUCACUGACGCUGAGGCGCGAAAGCUGGGGGAGCGAACAGGAUUAGAUACCCUGGUAGUCCCAGCCGUAAACGAUGGAUACUAGGUGUGGGGGGA